AUUCUGGAAACAGCACCACUUCUUGAAGAUCUGGAAAGGAUCACCGAAACAUAGACUCACUGAGGCUGUAAGGGACCACUGAAAAUGGCUCACAUAGCUCCAAGUUGUACAGCCUUGUAUGGACAGUGAACGAACCGCUGUGUUACUCAAAAUACUGGCUUUUACCCACAGUAAUCUUCAGAAGGUGCUGACAUUCACUAAUUCAGGAGAUGAGGCAGAAAUGGUUCAUCGGG
Molecule: long non-coding RNA, 233 nt
Organism: Colius striatus (speckled mousebird)
Lineage: Eukaryota; Metazoa; Chordata; Aves; Coliiformes; Coliidae
Exons: 3
Source: RefSeq, a predicted model, not a curated record